GAAUGAAGAACGCAGUGAAAUGCGAUAAGUAAUGUGAAUUGCAGAAUUCAGUGAAUCAUCGAAUCUUUGAACGCACAUUGCGCCCGCCAGUAUUCUGGCGGGCAUGCCUGUUCGAGCGUCAUUUCAACCAUCAAGCCCCCGGCUUGUGUUGGGGACCUGCGGCUGCCGCAGGCCCUGAAAAGCAGUGGCGGGCUCGCUGUCACACCGAGCGUAGUAGCAUACAUCUCGCUCUGGGCGUGCUGCGGGUUCCGGCCGUUAAACCACCUUCAUAACCCAAGGUUGACCUCGGAUCAGGUAGGAAGACCCGCUGAACUUAAGCAUAUCAAUAAGCGGAGGA
This 337-nucleotide unclassified non-coding RNA is filed under the name soil metagenome. Its description in RNAcentral is "partial contains 5.8S ribosomal RNA, internal transcribed spacer 2, and large subunit ribosomal RNA". The stretch from base 3 to 121 matches the Rfam family "5.8S ribosomal RNA", at positions 36 to 154 of the family's 154-position model. The record is from RNAcentral.